RNAcentral lists this unclassified non-coding RNA (231 nucleotides) under rhizosphere metagenome. Its description in RNAcentral is "partial ribosomal RNA internal transcribed spacer region". The record is from RNAcentral.
GUAGGUGAACCUGCGGAAGGAUCAUUAAUGAGUUAGGGUCUUUCAGGCCCGAUCUCCAACCCUUUGUAUAACUACCAUGUUGCUUUGGCGGGCCCGUCUUUCACCGGACCGCCGGGAGUUUUCAACCCCUGGCCAGUGCUCGUCAAUAGCCCUUAACAAACUCUUUUAACCAUGUUAAAUCUGAAAAUAUUAAAUAAACUAAAACUUUCAACAACGGAUCUCUUGGUUCUG